Molecule: ribosomal RNA, 492 nt
Filed under: uncultured bacterium
Lineage: Bacteria
Description: partial 16S ribosomal RNA
Rfam family: Bacterial small subunit ribosomal RNA
Source: RNAcentral
AGUGAACGCUGGCGGUAGGCCUAACACAUGCAAGUCGAACGGCAGCACAGUAAGAGCUUGCUCUUACGGGUGGCGAGUGGCGUACGGGUGAGGAAUACAUCGGAAUCUACUUUUUCGUGGGGGAUAACGUAGGGAAACUUACGCUAAUACCGCAUACGACCUACGGGUGAAAGCAGGGGAUCUUCGGACCUUGCGCGAUUGAAUUAGCCGAUGUCGGAUUUGCUAGUUGGGGGGGUAAAGGCCCACCAAGGCGACGAUCCGUAGCUGGUCUGAGAGGAUGAUAACCCACACUGGAACGGGAACAGGGACCUGGGGCCUAAGGGAGGCAGCAGUGGGGAAUAUUGGACAAUGGGGGGAAGCCUGAUCCAGCCAGACCGCGUGGGAGAAGAAGGCCUUCGGGUUGUAAAGCCCUUUUGUUGGGAAAGAAAAGCAGCAGGUUAAUACCACGCUGUUCUGACGGUACCCAAAGAAUAAGCACCGGCUAACUUCGUG